GGCUUGGUAAGAACGGGACUUUAAACCCGCC
This 31-nucleotide transfer RNA is filed under the name Trachylepis damarana (Damara skink). RNAcentral's name for it is "partial tRNA-Tyr". The record is from RNAcentral. Lineage: Eukaryota; Metazoa; Chordata; Lepidosauria; Squamata; Scincidae.